GGCGUGCUUAAUACAUGCAAGUCGCGCGAGAAAGCACCCUUCGGGGUGUGAGUAAAGCGGCGCACGGGUGAGUAACACGUAAGUAACUUACCUCCAAGUUCGGAAUAACCUUGCCAACGCGGGGCUAAUACCGGAUGUGGUCCCGGAGUCGAGUGGCUCUGGGAUUAAAGUAGACCUCUACCUGUAAGUUUGCGCUUGGAGAUGGACUUGCGUACCAUUAGCUUUGGCAGGGUAACUGCCUACCAAGGCAGUGAUGGUUAGCCGACCUGAGAGGGUGAUCGGCCACAUUGGGACUGAGAUACGGCCCAGACUCCUACGGGAGGCAGCAGUAGGGAAUUUUGCGCAAUGGACGAAAGUCUGACGCAGCGACGCCGCGUGAGGGAUGAAGGUUUUCGGAUCGUAAACCUCUGUUGAGUGAGAAGAAAACGUCCGCGGGUAAUAUCCGCGGGCCUUGACGGUACCACUCGAGGAAGCCCCGGCUAACUACGUGCCAGCAGCCGCGGUAAUACGUAGGGGGCAAGCGUUGUUCGGAAUUACUGGGCGUAAAGGGAGUGUAGGCGGGAAGAUAAGUUAGGAGUUUAAUCCUCAGGCUCAACCUGAGAGCUGCUCUUAAGACUGUUUUUCUUGAGUAUGGGAGAGGGUGAUGGAAUUCCAGGUGUAGCGGUGGAAUGCGUAGAUAUCUGGAAGAACACCAGUUGCGAAGGCGGUCACCUGGCCCAAUACUGACGCUGAGGCUCGAAAGCUAGGGGAGCAAACAGGAUUAGAUACCCUGGUAGUCCUAGCCGUAAACUAUGGAUACUAGAUGCUGGAAAAGUCAAUCUUUUCAGUGUCGUAGCUAACGCGAUAAGUAUCCCGCCUGGGAAGUACGCUCGCAAGGGUGAAACUCAAAGGAAUUGACGGGGGCCCGCACAAGCGGUGGAGAAUGUGCUUCAAUUCGAUACAACGCGAAGAACCUUACCUGGGUUUGACAUGGGAGUGAAGGUCGUCAGAGAUGAUGGCCCUUCCGCAAGGAACACUCUACACAGGUGCUGCAUGGUUGUCGUCAGCUCGUGUCGUGAGAUGUUGGGUUAAGUCCCGCAACGAGCGCAACCCUCGCUCUUAGUUGCCAUCAGGUAAAGCUGGGAACUCUAAGGUACCGCCUGUAAUAAACAGGAGGAAGGUGGGGAUGACGUCAAAUCAUCAUGGCCCUUACGUCCAGGGCUAGACACGUUCUACAAUGGCCGGUACAAUGGGCAGCAAACUCGCGAGAGUAAGCUAAUCCCUCAAAACCGGUCUCAGUUCAGAUUGGAGUCUGCAACUCGACUCCAUGAAGUUGGAAUCGCUAGUAAUCGCGGAUCAGCAUGCCGCGGUGAAUACGUUCCCGGGCCUUGUACACACCGC
RNAcentral lists this ribosomal RNA (1380 nucleotides) under metagenome. RNAcentral's name for it is "bacterial SSU rRNA". It matches the Rfam family "Bacterial small subunit ribosomal RNA", at positions 41 to 1393 of the family's 1533-position model. The record is from RNAcentral.